This 468-nucleotide ribosomal RNA is filed under the name uncultured bacterium. Its description in RNAcentral is "partial 16S ribosomal RNA". It matches the Rfam family "Bacterial small subunit ribosomal RNA", at positions 28 to 507 of the family's 1533-position model. The record is from RNAcentral.
GACGAACGCUGGCGGCGUGCUUAACACAUGCAAGUCGAACGGCAAGGCCCUGCUUUUGUGGGGUGCUCGAGUGGCGAACGGGUGAGUAACACGUGAGUAACCUGCCCUUCACUUUGGGAUAACUUCAGGAAACUGGGGCUAAUACAGGAUAGGAGCUCCUGCUGCAUGGUGGGGGUUGGAAAGUUUCGGCGGUUGGGGAUGGACUCGCGGCUUAUCAGCUUGUUGGUGGGGUAGUGGCUUACCAAGGCUUUGACGGGUCGCCGGCCUGAGAGCGUGACCGGCCACAUGGGUACUGAGAUACGCCCCAGACGCCUACGGGAGGCAGCAGGGGGAAAUCUUGCACAAUGGGCGGAAGCCUGAUGCAGCGACGCUGCGGUCGGGAUGACGGCCUUCGGGGUGUAAACCGCUGUCGCCUGUGACGACGCGUUAGUGACGGUACUGGGUAAAGAAGCACCGGCUAACUACGUG